RNAcentral lists this unclassified non-coding RNA (228 nucleotides) under plant metagenome. RNAcentral describes it as "partial contains small subunit ribosomal RNA and internal transcribed spacer 1". The stretch from base 1 to 46 matches the Rfam family "Eukaryotic small subunit ribosomal RNA", at positions 1786 to 1831 of the family's 1831-position model. The record is from RNAcentral.
AAGUCGUAACAAGGUUUCCGUAGGUGAACCUGCGGAAGGAUCAUUAAAAGAUUAGGGUCUCACGGCCCGAAAUCCAACCCUUUGUUGUUUAAAACACCUUGUUGCUUUGGCGGGACCGUCUGCCUCACGGCGGACUGUCGGUCCUUCGGCCCGGCAUGCGCCCGUCAGAGUCCAACCAAACUCUUGUUAUAACCGGUCGUCUGAGAAUAAAGAUUUAAUCAAUUAAAA